CAGCCGCCGCGGGAAUACGUAGGUGGCAAGCGUUGUCCGGAAUUAUUGGGCGUAAAGGGCUCGCAGGCGGUUUCUUAAGUCUGGUGUGAAAGCCCCCGGCUCAACCGGGGAGGGUCAUUGGAAACUGGGAAACUUGAGUGCAGAAGAGGAGAGUGGAAUUCCACGUGUAGCGGUGAAAUGCGUAGAGAUGUGGAGGAACACCAGUGGCGAAGGCGACUCUCUGGUCUGUAACUGACGCUGAGGAGCGAAAGCGUGGGGAGCGAACAGGAUUAGAUACCCCAGUAGUCCCUGUCUCUUAUAC
This 301-nucleotide ribosomal RNA is filed under the name uncultured bacterium. Its description in RNAcentral is "partial 16S ribosomal RNA". It matches the Rfam family "Bacterial small subunit ribosomal RNA", at positions 509 to 807 of the family's 1533-position model. The record is from RNAcentral.